GAUGUGAUUAAGGAUGCACUAUUUUUUCCCCGUCUUAUCGACUGUGGUGAAAACCAGCUAAAGUUAAGCCAAUUUUGUCUGAAAUCACAUU
Small nucleolar RNA from Hippocampus zosterae (dwarf seahorse), 91 nucleotides. RefSeq annotates it as small nucleolar SNORD12/SNORD106. NCBI's taxonomy places the organism in Eukaryota, Metazoa, Chordata, Actinopteri, Syngnathiformes, Syngnathidae. The transcript has a single exon. The record is from RefSeq and is a predicted model, not a curated record.